RNAcentral lists this long non-coding RNA (1516 nucleotides) under Lonchura striata (white-rumped munia). RNAcentral describes it as "domestica (Bengalese finch) lncRNA (ENSLSDG00000015090.1)". The record is from RNAcentral. Lineage: Eukaryota; Metazoa; Chordata; Aves; Passeriformes; Estrildidae.
AUGAGCCCAAAUCCAGAGGGAUGGAGCCAUUGGAUAAAGCCAUCGGUGUGGGAUGUGUCCCAGCUCCAGAGGGAUGGAUUCUCUGGGAUAAAGCUGUUGGUGUGGGAUGAGCCUCAAUCCAGAGGGGUGGAUCCUUUGGAUAAAGCCAUCAGUGUGGGAUGUGUCCCAGCUCCAGAGGGAUGGAGCCCUUGGAUAAAGGUGUUGGAGUGGGAUGCAUCCCAGCUCCGGAGGGAUGGAGCCACUGGCACCAGGUGCAAUCCCAGCUCCGGAUCUGCCCCAUCACAGCCACGUGCCGAUGUCCAGCACCUCCUCGAGGAGGUGUCAGGGCUGAUCCGCUGCCUUGGGGACCUUUGGGGUGACACUUUCCAGUGCCACCCGCCACUCUCAGACUCCAAACCUGCUGCAAUCCCUGAGGAUUCCCUUAGGAUGAACCUGACAAAGGGAAUGGAUCCCAAACACUUCCCCAGCCUGUGCCUCAGUUUCCCCACUGGCAAACCUGGCUUAGGCUGUGCCUGAACAAACACAAAUCCCUCUGCACCAGGGCUCAGCCGGGCCCAGCCCAGGCCCCUCCACGUUCCAGGUGAGAAAUCCCUGGAACACCCCACGCCUGUAGGGCCAGGAGAACACAAAGGGCUCCUGGUGCUGCUCCAGCAGCCCGGAGAGUGCCGGGCUCUGGUGGGAGCAAAUUAGAUCAGGAGAGCAGAGCGCUAAUGGGAUCAUUUCCAAUGCAAUACACACAGGGAUAAUCCGCAGCAAAGGAAGCCAGGCCCUCCCCAGCCCGAAGGCAGGAUUUGCUUUCCCCUGCCAUGAUUUUACUCCGUAUCUCUCUGCACAAUCUGUUUCUGCCCGGUGCAGGUGCAGCCUGGGGGGUUUGGGGAGUGCCUGGUGCUGAGGUGAGCUGGGUUUGAGUGUGGCUGCCACAGCUAAGCCGGCCUUGGCACGGCCACAGCAUCUUCAGUACCACCACAGCAUCCUUGGCACGGCCACAGCAUCUUCAGUACCACCACAGCAUCCUUGGCAUGGCCAAAGCAUCUUCAGUAUCACCACAGCAUCCUUGGCACGGCCACAGCAUCUUCAGUACCACCACAGCAUCCUUGGCAGGGUUACGGCAUCCUCAGCACCACCACAGCAUCCUGAGCACUACCACGGUGCCCUCAGCACGGCCACGGCAUCCUUGGUGCCAUCACAGCAUCCUCGGCACCACUACAGCAUCCUUGGUACCACCACAAUACCCUUGGUGCCACUACAGCGUCCCUGGUACAAUCACAGCAUCCUUGGGGCCACCACAGCACCCUCGGCAUGGCCAUGGCAUCCUCAGCAUCACCGCGGCAUCUUCGCCAUGGCCACGGCACCCUUGAUGCCACCACAGCAUCCUCAAUGCCACCACAGCAUCCUCAGCAUGGCCACAGCAUCUCUGGCAUGGCCAUGGCACCCCUGAUGCCACCACGGUACAUCUGAUGCCACCACAACACCCCUGAUGCCACCACGGCAUCCCUGAUGUCAUCACAGCACCCCU